GACGAACGCUGGCGGCGUGCUUAACACAUGCAAGUCGAACGGAAAGGCCCUGCUUUUGUGGGGUGCUCGAGUGGCGAACGGGUGAGUAACACGUGAGUAACCUGCCCUUGACUUUGGGAUAACUUCAGGAAACUGGGGCUAAUACCGGAUAGGAGCUCCUGCUGCAUGGUGGGGGUUGGAAAGUUUCGGCGGUUGGGGAUGGACUCGCGGCUUAUCAGCUUGUUGGUGUGGUAGUGGCUUACCAGGGCUGUGACGGGUAGCCGGCCUGAGAGGGUGACCGGCCACCUUGGGACUGAGAUACGGCCCAGAAUCCUACGGGACGCAGCAGUGGGGAAUAUUGCACAAUGGGCGGAAGCCUGAUGCAGCAACGCCGCGUGCGGGAUGACGGCCUUCGGGUUGUAAACCGCUUUCGCCUGUGACGAAGCGUGAGUGACGGUAAUGGGUAAAGAAGCACCGGCUAACUACGCG
RNAcentral lists this ribosomal RNA (468 nucleotides) under uncultured bacterium. RNAcentral describes it as "partial 16S ribosomal RNA". It matches the Rfam family "Bacterial small subunit ribosomal RNA", at positions 28 to 507 of the family's 1533-position model. The record is from RNAcentral.